GACAGAGGAUGCAAGCGUUAUCCGGAAUGAUUGGGCGUAAAGCGUCCGCAGGUGGCAGUUCAAGUCUGCUGUCAAAGACCGGGGCUUAACUUCGGAAAGGCAGUGGAAACUGAACAGCUAGAGUAUGGUAGGGGCAGAGGGAAUUCCUGGUGUAGCGGUGAAAUGCGUAGAGAUCAGGAAGAACAUCGGUGGCGAAGGCGCUCUGCUGGACCAUAACUGACACUCAGGGACGAAAGCUAGGGGAGCGAAUGGG
RNAcentral lists this ribosomal RNA (253 nucleotides) under uncultured bacterium. RNAcentral's name for it is "partial 16S ribosomal RNA". It matches the Rfam family "Bacterial small subunit ribosomal RNA", at positions 524 to 776 of the family's 1533-position model. The record is from RNAcentral.